This 172-nucleotide ribosomal RNA is filed under the name Fusarium oxysporum. RNAcentral describes it as "5.8S ribosomal RNA". The stretch from base 8 to 161 matches the Rfam family "5.8S ribosomal RNA". From Rfam's summary of the family: 5.8S ribosomal RNA (5.8S rRNA) is a component of the large subunit of the eukaryotic ribosome. It is transcribed by RNA polymerase I as part of the 45S precursor that also contains 18S and 28S rRNA. Lineage: Eukaryota; Fungi; Ascomycota; Sordariomycetes; Hypocreales; Nectriaceae. The record is from RNAcentral.
AAAUUAAAACUUUCAACAACGGAUCUCUUGGCUCUGGCAUCGAUGAAGAACGCAGCGAAAUGCGAUAAGUAAUGUGAAUUGCAGAAUUCAGUGAAUCAUCGAAUCUUUGAACGCACAUUGCGCCCGCCAGUAUUCUGGCGGGCAUGCCUGUUCGAGCGUCAUUACAACCCUC